GCGACGGCCUACACAUGCAAGUCGAGGGGUAACAUGAGUAGCUUGCUACUUGAUGACNACCGGCGCACGGGUGAGUAACGCGUAUGCAACCUUUCUUCAACAGGAGAAUAGCCCCCGGAAACGGGGAUUAAUGCUCCAUGAUGCUAUUUUAUUGCAUGAUAGAAUAGUUAAAGCUGAGGCGGUUGAAGGUGGGCAUGCGUGACAUUAGCUUGUUGGCGGGGUAACGGCCCACCAAGGCGACGAUGUCUAGGGGUUCUGAGAGGAAGGUCCCCCACACUGGUACUGAGACACGGACCAGACUCCUACGGGAGGCAGCAGUGAGGAAUAUUGGUCAAUGGACGCAAGUCUGAACCAGCCAUGUCGCGNGCAGGAAGACGGCCCUACGGGUUGUAAACUGCUUUUGUACGGGAAGAAAAUGUCUUACGUGUAAGACUUUGCCGGUACCGUGCGAAUAAGCAUCGGCUAACUCCGNGCCAGCAGCCGCGGUAAUACGGAGGAUGCGAGCGUUAUCCGGAAUUAUUGGGUUUAAAGGGUGCGUAGGCGGAAUGGUAAGUCAGCGGUGAAAUACUGCAGCUCAACUGUAGUUGUGCCGUUGAUACUGUCAUUCUUGAGUAUAGAUGAGGUAGGCGGAAUGAGUAGUGUAGCGGGUGAAAUGCAUAGAUAUUACUCAGAACACCGGAUUGCGAAGGCAGCUUACUAAACUAUAACUGACGCUGAAGCACGAAAGCGUGGGUAUCAAACAGGAUUAGAUACCCUGGUAGUCCACGCUGUAAACGAUGGUUACUGGGUUGUUUGGGCGAAAGAACUCAAGGCGACUGCGCNNAAAGCAUUAAGUAAUCCACCUGGGGGAGUACGUCGGCNACGAUGAAACUCAAAGGAAU
This 881-nucleotide ribosomal RNA is filed under the name uncultured Anaerophaga sp. RNAcentral's name for it is "bacterial SSU rRNA". It matches the Rfam family "Bacterial small subunit ribosomal RNA", at positions 39 to 910 of the family's 1533-position model. Lineage: Bacteria; Pseudomonadati; Bacteroidota; Bacteroidia; Marinilabiliales; Marinilabiliaceae. The record is from RNAcentral.